AAGUCGUAACAAGGUUUCCGUAGGUGAACCUGCGGAAGGAUCAUUAACACGAACUAUCCACUAACCAAACCAAACGGAAACUUUUCCCCUCCCUAGUGCUUCGCGCAUUAGGCUAAACUGUUCAUUUUUUACCCCAUACAAACAAACCAAACCUAUGGUCUUGAUUUAACCAAUCAUUACCACUGCAAACUAUCCGAACACGACUUGUGGUCCACGUUGACUCGGUCUGUUCUGUUCUACUAACGAACUGAAAAAGAGCAAUACAACUCUUAACAAUGGAUAUCUUGGUUCUC
RNAcentral lists this unclassified non-coding RNA (293 nucleotides) under fungal sp. Its description in RNAcentral is "partial internal transcribed spacer region". The stretch from base 1 to 46 matches the Rfam family "Eukaryotic small subunit ribosomal RNA", at positions 1786 to 1831 of the family's 1831-position model. The record is from RNAcentral. Lineage: Eukaryota; Fungi.